This 376-nucleotide unclassified non-coding RNA is filed under the name uncultured bacterium. RNAcentral's name for it is "contains 16S-23S intergenic spacer region". The record is from RNAcentral.
UCCGGCUUAUCACCGGCGGUUUCUUUAGAGUGCCCAACUAAAUGAUGGCAACUAAAGACGAGGGUUGCGCUCGUUGCGGGACUUAACCCAACAUCUCACGACACGAGCUGACGACAGCCAUGCAGCACCUGUGCAGGAUCUCCGAAGAGGGGCUCUCGUUUCUGAGAGCUUGCUCCUGCAUGUCAAGCCUAGGUAAGGUUCUUCGCGUUGCGUCGAAUUAAACCACAUGCUCCACCGCUUGUGUGGAUCCCCGUCAAUUCCUUUGAGUUUUAAUCUUGCGACCGUACUCCCCAGGCGGGAUGCUUAAUGCGUUAGCUGCGCCACUGAAGAGCAAGCUCCCCAACGGCUAGCAUCCAUCGUUUACAGCGUGGACUAC